AACUGAUACUACCUGCGGGAACCUGCGGAAGGAUCAUUAUUGAAUUAUGUUUCUAAAUGGGUUGUAGCUGGCUCGUCAGAGCAUGUGCACGCCUGUUUGGACUUCAUUUUCAUCCACCUGUGCACCUAUUGUAGCCUUUGGUUGGGUAUCGAGGAAGUGGUCAGCCUAUCAGCACUUGCUGGAUGUGAGGACUUGCAGUGUGAAAGCUUUGCUGUCCUUUACUUGAUCAUGGAGCUGUUU
RNAcentral lists this unclassified non-coding RNA (240 nucleotides) under soil metagenome. RNAcentral's name for it is "partial contains 5.8S ribosomal RNA, internal transcribed spacer 2, and large subunit ribosomal RNA". The record is from RNAcentral.